This 406-nucleotide ribosomal RNA is filed under the name uncultured bacterium. RNAcentral describes it as "partial 16S ribosomal RNA". It matches the Rfam family "Bacterial small subunit ribosomal RNA", at positions 30 to 526 of the family's 1533-position model. The record is from RNAcentral.
AUUGAACGCUGGCGGCAGGCCUAACACAUGCAAGUCGAACGAGUGGCGGACGGGUGAGUAAUGUCUGGGAAACUGCCCGAUGGAGGGGGAUAACUACUGGAAACGGUAGCUAAUACCGCAUACCAUCGGAUGUGCCCAGAUGGGAUUAGCUAGUAGGUGGGGUAACGGCUCACCUGGGCGACGAGCCCUAGCUGGUCUGGGAGGAUGACCAGCCACACCGGAACUGAGACACGGUCCAGACUCCUACGGGAGGCAGCAGUGGGGAUUAUUGCACAAUGGGCGCAAGCCUUAUGCAGCCAUGCCUCGUGUAUGAAGAAGGCCUUCGGGUUGUAAGGUACUUUCAGCGAGGAGGCGUUACUCGCAGAAGAAGCCCCGGCUAACUCCGUGCCAGCAGCCGCGGUAAUAC